AGCUGAGCUGUCAACCGCGAGUGAGCGGAGGCGGGGCUCCCUGCGGCCCAGGACCCGCCCAGGUGACACGCCGCGGCACACACCCUCCGGCCUCCACCGCCUCCCUCGCAGGCUGAGUGAUGAUAUCUCAGGAGUGGCCUUCGAUGGCCCUCUUCAUACCUCCUGUCUCUCGCUCGUCCCAGUAGGGGCUUUGGAUAAAACCAGCCAGCUGCAAGGGAGCACCUUGGAGAGGUGGUCUUCCCCUGCGCCUGCGUCACCCACCCUCAGCAACCAGGCUCUACCAGAAGAUCCCAGGACUCACAGGGCUCCUGAACAUCCCAGAAUGAUCCUAACGCCUUAAGAGCCUUAAGAGUGGCCCCUAGGAAGUCGACUCUCCGUGGAGGCUGUUCUGAGAUCACAUGCAAAGCUUUUCCUUCCAAGGAGGGGGCUGCCCAGACCUUGUGCAUCUAUGUAUGUACCAAUGUUUAACAAGACAGACAUGCUGUAAUUAGAGGGCUUGCCGCCUGGAGCUCCCUUUUAACUCUGAAAUAAACCUUUUUAUUAAGUCA
Mesocricetus auratus (golden hamster) is the source of this 548-nucleotide long non-coding RNA. RefSeq lists it as uncharacterized. The transcript has 2 exons. The record is from RefSeq and is a predicted model, not a curated record. NCBI's taxonomy places the organism in Eukaryota, Metazoa, Chordata, Mammalia, Rodentia, Cricetidae.